This 442-nucleotide ribosomal RNA is filed under the name uncultured bacterium. Its description in RNAcentral is "partial 16S ribosomal RNA". It matches the Rfam family "Bacterial small subunit ribosomal RNA", at positions 338 to 795 of the family's 1533-position model. The record is from RNAcentral.
CCUACGGGUGGCAGCAGUAGGGAAUCUUUCACAAUGGGCGAAAGCCUGAUGGAGCAACGCCGCGUGCAGGAUGAAGGCCUUCGGGUUGUAAACUGCUUUCAUAAGCGAGAAAUAUGAUGGUAACUUAUGAAUAAGCAUCGGCUAACUACGUGCCAGCAGCCGCGGUCAUACGUAGGAGCCGAGCAUUAUCCGGAGUGACUGGGUGUAAAGAGUUGCGUAGGUGGCAUAAUAAGUAGCUAGUGAAAUCUGGUGGCUCAACCAUUAAGACUAUUAGCUAAACUGUUAAGCUCGAGAACGUGAGGGGUAACUGGAAUUUCUAGUGUAGGAGUGAAAUCCGUAGAUAUUAGGAAGAACACCAAUAGCGUAGGCAGGUUACUGGGACGGUACUGACACUAAGGCACGAAAGCGUAGGGAGCAAACGGGAUUAGAUACCCUUGUAGUC